AACAUUACCAAAUAUUGUUGUCAAACCUAAGACUUCAAUCUUGGGUGUUUGGAAGGCCAUCAAGAGAGCCAUGGCAUCAUCGAUUCCGGGAUCCGUGUCGAUGAUGACCUUCUCGAGAAGCUGAUGGAUUCCGCCGUUCUCCAUUGCAGGGAGAGCAGGACGAGAGACCGAGGCCGAGUUCGACGUCUUCGCCCUGUAGUUCGUCCCCGUCGGCCCCGAGCCAAGGCCGAGAGGAACCGUUUCGUUGAUUGGGACGAGGAGGAAAGGCCGAGGCCGAGUUCGACGCCUCCGAU
This 293-nucleotide unclassified non-coding RNA is filed under the name Hevea brasiliensis (rubber tree). The record is from RNAcentral. Lineage: Eukaryota; Viridiplantae; Streptophyta; Magnoliopsida; Malpighiales; Euphorbiaceae.